RNAcentral lists this ribosomal RNA (477 nucleotides) under uncultured bacterium. RNAcentral describes it as "partial 16S ribosomal RNA". It matches the Rfam family "Bacterial small subunit ribosomal RNA", at positions 28 to 507 of the family's 1533-position model. The record is from RNAcentral.
GAUGAACGCUGGCGGCGUGCUUAACACAUGCAAGUCGAACGAGAAGUGAAGACGGAAACCUUCGGGCGGAAGGCUUUAUUUCGAGUGGCGGACGGGUGAGUAACGCGUGGGUAACCUGCCUCAUACAGGGGGAUAACAGUUGGAAACGACUGUUAAUACCGCAUAAGACCACAGCACCGCAUGGUGCGGGGGUAAAAACUCCGGUGGUAUGAGAUGGACCCGCGUUCGAUAGCCAGUUGGCGGGGUAACGGCCCACCAAAGCGACGAUCGAUAGCCGAUCUGAGAGGAUGACCGGCCACAUUGGGACUGAGACACGGCCCAAACUCCUACGGGAGGCAGCAGUGGGGAAUAUUGCACAAUGGGGGAAACCCUGAUGCAGCGACGCCGCGUGAGUGAAGAAGUAUUUCGGUAUGUAAAGCUCUAUCAGCAGGGAAGAAAAUGACGGUACCUGAGUAAGAAGCCCCGGCUAACUACGUG